AUCGGAAGGUGCGGCUGGAUCACCUCCUUUCUAAGGAUUGAGUAGAGAUUUGUUUCACUGUUCAGGUAUUAAUCCUGAAUUGAAUAUGAUUUCCGGUGGCGAUGCGGUUAGGGGUAACACCCGUACACAUCCCGAACACGAUGGUUAAGACCUAAUCGGCCGAUAAUACUACGUUGGAGACGACGUGGGAAGGUAGGUGGCUGCCGGGUUUGCUUAAACAGCAAACGAUGUUUGCUUUCAUAUAUAAACAUCACCGCCAAGCGCGGCGAUCAUUAGAGGAUUCAGCAAGCUGAGUUUUCUAAUGGUCGAAAGACCAAAAUAGCAACUUGAAAACUUCAUACAGUAGAGAUAAUGAUUUUAAGAUAAUCUUAAAUAUCAAGACAUCCGAGAAAAUUCGUGAUUUUUAAGUGAAAACGUAAAAAAUCACGAACAAGAAUUAACAAACCAAACAAGUUCUUAUUGAACAAUUAAAAUAUCGAAGCUACAUAUUUUCGAGAUUGA
This 501-nucleotide unclassified non-coding RNA is filed under the name Pseudobutyrivibrio ruminis. The record is from RNAcentral. Lineage: Bacteria; Bacillati; Bacillota; Clostridia; Lachnospirales; Lachnospiraceae.